Molecule: non-coding RNA, 91 nt
Filed under: Legionella massiliensis
Lineage: Bacteria; Pseudomonadati; Pseudomonadota; Gammaproteobacteria; Legionellales; Legionellaceae
Description: TPP sequence
Rfam family: TPP riboswitch aptamer (THI element)
About the family: Vitamin B(1) in its active form thiamin pyrophosphate (TPP) is an essential coenzyme that is synthesised by coupling of pyrimidine and thiazole moieties in bacteria. The previously detected thiamin-regulatory element, thi box was extended, resulting in a new, highly conserved RNA secondary structure, the THI element, which is widely distributed in eubacteria and also occurs in some archaea. Analysis of operon structures identified a large number of new candidate thiamin-regulated genes, mostly transporters, in various prokaryotic organisms.
Source: Rfam by way of RNAcentral
AAAGAUGGCUCGGGGUGCCGGUAACGGCUGAGAAACACCCGCAGAACUUGAACUGGUUAGGACCAGCGUAAGGAUGCCUUCAAAAAAUCCA